This 467-nucleotide ribosomal RNA is filed under the name uncultured bacterium. RNAcentral describes it as "partial 16S ribosomal RNA". It matches the Rfam family "Bacterial small subunit ribosomal RNA", at positions 28 to 507 of the family's 1533-position model. The record is from RNAcentral.
GACGAACGCUGGCGGCGCGCCUAACACAUGCAAGUCGAACGGAGCUGAGAGAAGCUUGCUUUUCUUAGCUUAGUGGCGAACGGGUGAGUAACGCGUGAGUAACCUGCCCUGGAGUGGGGGACAACAGUUGGAAACGACUGCUAAUACCGCAUAAGCCCACGAUCCGGCAUCGGAUUGAGGGAAAAGGAUUUAUUCGCUUCAGGAUGGACUCGCGUCCAAUUAGCUAGUUGGUGAGGUAACGGCCCACCAAGGCGACGAUUGGUAGCCGGACUGAGAGGUUGAACGGCCACAUUGGGACUGAGACACGGCCCAGACUCCUACGGGAGGCAGCAGUGGGGGAUAUUGCACAAUGGGGAAACCCUGAUGCAGCGACGCCGCGUGGAGGAAGAAGGUUUUCGGAUUGUAAACUCCUGUCGUUAGGGACGAUAAUGACGGUACCUAACAAGAAAGCACCGGCUAACUACGUG